CGAUCCAAGCUAAACGGCGAUCUUAGCUGUCGUGGCCAAAAAGAUUCACCUGGUAAAAAGGUCCGUCGUUCGUUCCGUUCACUUGUUGGGUUAAAGCAUGAUUUUCUAAGAAGAAGCAGAUUGGGCACCGGCAAUUUAAAGAACAUAAAAUAAUAUUAUUUUACAGAAAAAAGAAGAAGUGAGUAUUACUCAAAAAUAAGUUACAACUUACAACCGUCCUCACACAAGUUUAAAUAUCGUCAGA
Molecule: long non-coding RNA, 244 nt
Filed under: Brachypodium distachyon (stiff brome)
Lineage: Eukaryota; Viridiplantae; Streptophyta; Magnoliopsida; Poales; Poaceae
Description: long non-coding RNA (BDIS_LNC001399)
Source: RNAcentral